This 458-nucleotide long non-coding RNA is filed under the name Ananas comosus (pineapple). Its description in RNAcentral is "long non-coding RNA (ACOM_LNC027930)". The record is from RNAcentral. Lineage: Eukaryota; Viridiplantae; Streptophyta; Magnoliopsida; Poales; Bromeliaceae.
GCCCGCCGCCGGCCAGCAUCUCCCCCGGACCUCCCCGACCUGCUGCUCCCAUCACCGGCCGGAGCGCCCGCGGCCCGAUCGCCGGCGGCCAUCCCUAGCUCCCACAGCCCCGGUGAGUAGUUUAUUUUGGUUCCAGCACUGCUGUUUUGCGUUCCGGUCACUUUUUCGGUGAUCCGAUGACUCCCUGGCACCUCGGGAGGUGAGCACGGUGAUCGUGGGCUCGUGCUGAACACGAUGCUCACCUCCACUUAGGUUAACGGUGCCCUGGUUAGUGAGAAAAGGCUGUUUUCCACAGUAUGCGCACUGAUUCGCUGAGGUUCGCGUCGCUCGUGCGCGCGUGGUUGCUGCCGGCAGUGCUCCGAAAGGUGAGCACGGCCUCAGGCAUGCUGAAACCUUGCAGCAAGUGCGAUGGCAACCUCCAUAGAUCCCUGGUUUGCUGGUACGACCCGUUAGAGCCA